AUGGCGCCACCACCUCCAACCCUCCCUCCACCCUACCAUUCCCUCCCCAACGUCCUUUCCCUCCCCCGCCGGCACGCCCGGCUCCCCAUCCGACGCCUCCUCGCAGCGCACGCCCUCGCCGUCGUCGCCGGCCACCUCUCCCUCCCCGACCCCUACACCCACACGCUCCUCCUUGUCGCCUACUCCCGCCUCGAGUGCGCCCGCGGCCCCUACACACUUCUCCUCCUCCUCCGCCUCUCGGUGCCCCCCACCCGCCGCUCCCUCCCUCUCGCUGUCUCCGCUGCCUCCUCCUUACGCCUCCACCUCCCGCUCGCACUCUCCCUUCACGCCGUCGCGGUAACCCGCAACCUCCUCCCGUUCGCGCACGUGGCCAACGCCUUCGUCUCCCUCUACGGCAAGAACGGGCUGCCGGACUCCGCGCGCAGGGUGUUCGACGAAAUGCCCACACCGGACGUCAUCUCGUACAAUGCUCUGAUGGACGGGUACAUCAAGGCUGGGCGACUGGGGCUUGCCAUGAAGGAGUUCCAUCGGAUGCCGCAGCGGGAUGCCGUGUCCUGGGGCACGGUGAUAGCCGGUUGUGCAAAGGUCGGGCAAUGGGAGGAGGCGGUGGCGCUGUUUGACAGGAUGAGAGGUGAGGGAUUGGGACCAGACGAUGUUGCACUGACUGCAGUGCUGUCAUGCUGCGCACAUCUCGGGGCGCUAGAGAAGGGACGGGAGGUCCAUGAGUAUGUGAUGCAAAGCAGGUCCCGGCCGAAUGUGUUCUUGUGCACAGGGCUUGUUGAUCUGUAUGCAAAAUGUGGGUGUGUUGAGGUUGCCCAGGAGGUGUUCGACUGGUGCCCUGUGAGGAAUGUGUUCACCUGGAAUGCGCUCAUCGUCGGGCUGGCAAUGCACGGGCAUGGCACAGUGGCAGUCAAGUACUUCAACCGCAUGCUGGUUGAGGGGGUUCGACCAGACGGAGUCACCUUCUUAGGGGUGUUGAUCGGUUGCAGCCAUGCCGGCCUGGUUGACAUGGCAAAGAGGAUCUUCUCCGAGAUGGAAGGCAGGUAUGGCGUGUCUCGGGAGCUUAAGCAUUAUGGAUGCAUGGCCGACUUGCUUGGUCGAGCCGGGCUCAUUGAGGAAGCAAUGAAGAUGGUCGAGAAGAUGUCGACGAAAGGGGAUGCUUACGUCUGGGGAGGUAUACUCGCUGGUUGUCGAAUGCACGGGAAUGUGGAGGCAGCAGAGGUUGCAGCAAGACAUUUGCUGGAGCUCAAUCCUGAAGACGGCGGGGUAUACUCUGUCCUGGCCGGGAUCUAUGCAGAUGCUGGCAGGUGGGAGGAUGUUGCAAGGGUUAGGAAACUGAUGGAUCAGAGGAUUGGUAGGAGAAAUGUUGGUUGCAGUUCCAUUACAACGGACCAAUAA
RNAcentral lists this ribosomal RNA (1398 nucleotides) under Triticum aestivum (bread wheat). RNAcentral describes it as "partial small subunit ribosomal RNA". The record is from RNAcentral. Lineage: Eukaryota; Viridiplantae; Streptophyta; Magnoliopsida; Poales; Poaceae.